This 1935-nucleotide ribosomal RNA is filed under the name metagenome. RNAcentral describes it as "bacterial LSU rRNA". It matches the Rfam family "Bacterial large subunit ribosomal RNA", at positions 3 to 1978 of the family's 2925-position model. The record is from RNAcentral.
UUAAGCUACAAAGAGCGUAGGGUGAAUAGCUAGGCACCAAGAGCCGAAGAAGGACGUGAUAAGCUGCGAAAAGCUUUGGGUAGGAGCAAAUAUCCAUUAAUCCAGAGAUAUCCGAAUGAGGGAACUCACUUAGAGCAAACAAUCUAAGUAUCCAUAUAUGAGUAAAGUAGUAUAUGAGAAGGGAACGUGGGGAACUGAAACAUCUUAGUACCCACAGGAAAAGAAAGAGAAAUCGAUUCCUAGAGUAGUGGCGAGCGAAAUAGGAAGAGCCUAAACCAUGAGUAGUAAUACACAUGGGGUUCGGACCACGAUAUAUUAUCAAUAAUUCUAAUAGAAAUGUUUUGGAAAAGCAUACCAUAGACGGUGAAAGUCCAGUAUAUGAAAGAAAAGUUGAGAUUAGUGGUAUCCAGAGUAGUACGAGACACGAGAAAUCUCGUAUGAAUAAGCGGGGACCAUCCCGUAAGGCUAAAUACUACUUGGUGACCGAUAGUGAACUAGUACCGUGAGGGAAAGGUGAAAAGAACCCCGGGAGGGGAGUGAAAUAGAACAUGAAACCCUAUGUUUACAAGCAGACAAAGCACUUUAUAUGUGCGAUGUCGUACUUUUUGUAGAACGGUCCAGCGAGUUAUUGUGUAUGGCGAGGUUAAGUAUUACGUAAGGUACGGAGCCGAAGCGAAAGCGAGUCUGAAAAGGGCGAUAUAAGUCAUGCAUAAUAGACCCGAAACUGAGUGACCUAUCCAUGAGCAGGAUGAAGCUAGAGUAAAAUCUAGUGGAGGUCCGAACUGAUUGUCGUUAAAAAGGCACCGGAUGACUUGUGGAUAGCGGAGAAAUUCCAAUCGAACUCAGAGAUAGCUGGUUCUCCUCGAAAUAGCUUUAGGGCUAGCCUUGAGGGAAUGCAUAUGGGGGUAGAGCACUGAAUGAGGUAGGGGCCUAACCAGGUUACCAAACUCUAUCAAACUCCGAAUACCAUAUGUAAAUACUCAGGAGUCAGACUGCGGGAGCUAAGUUCCGUGGUCAAAAGGAAAACAGUCCAGAUCGUCAAUUAAGGUCCCAAAGAUAUAGCUAAGUGGAAAACGAUGUGAUUUUGCAUAAACAACCAGGAUGUUGGCUCAGAAGCAGCCAUUCAUUCAAAGAGUGCGUAAUAGCUCACUGGUCGAGUGAAGUUGCGCGGAAAAUUACCGGGGCUAAGCUAUACACCGAAAUUGCGGAUUUACAUUUGAAAGACAAUGUAAGUGGUAGAGGAGCAUUCUGUAGUAGGAAGAAGCAUGACCGUAAGGACAUGUGGACGAAGCAGAAGAGAGAAUGCUGGAAUAAGUAGCGAGAGGAUGGUGAGAAUCCAUCCCGUCGAAAAUCUAAGGUUUCCCAGGGAAGGUUCGUCCGCCUGGGGUAAGUCGGGACCUAAGGAGAGGCCGAAAGGCGUAUCUGAUGGAUAGCAGGUUGAAAUUCCUGCACUACGAAUAUACUUAAAAGAUUCAAGGGACGCAGAAGUGGAAGAUAACCAAGUAAGAGGAAAAGCUUGGCUCGCAAGAGGGAGUGAAAAUUAAAAGUAACGAAGUAUCAAGAAGCACGCUGACGAGAAAAGCUUGAAGAUAUUGUAUAUAAGUACCCGUACCGCAAACCGACACAGGUAGAUGAGGAGAGGAUCCUAAGACGAGCGGGAGAAGCAUUGUUAAGGAACUCGGCAAAUUAACCCCGUAACUUCGGAAUAAGGGGUGCUGAUGUAACAGUCAGUCGCAGAGAAAAGGCCCAAGCAACUGUUUAACAAAAACAUAGGUUUCUGCUAAAUCGAAAGAUGAAGUAUAGGAGCUGACGCCUGCCCAGUGCUGGAAGGUUAAGGGAAAGAGUUAGGGUUAAACCGAAGCUUAGAACUGAAGCCCCAGUGAACGGCGGCCGUAACUAUAACGGUCCUAAGGUAGCGAAAUUCCUUGUCAGGUA